Misgurnus anguillicaudatus (oriental weatherfish) is the source of this 3437-nucleotide RNA transcript. It is a transcript of the gene named leucine-rich repeat-containing protein 38, with no coding region annotated. The record is from RefSeq and is a predicted model, not a curated record. Lineage: Eukaryota; Metazoa; Chordata; Actinopteri; Cypriniformes; Cobitidae.
UCCAUAUUAAAAGGCAAAGACAACACAGAAAAAAGCAGUAGAGUCCACGAGCCAGCAUGCUGAUAGACUUCCCCCGUUCGUCUCAAAUCUGCAUGCAGACAACUACUUUAUGGAUAUUUGGGUUUCCUCACCAUAGCAACAGAGCUGCAAAACCGUACCGUACAGUCUCUCAUCACACACAGUCGUGCCUGGGAUCGCACGGCACGCGGGAGAGAGAGGGAAAGGACUCCGCUUCCAUGCGCCUUAAUCUCUGGAGGAAUUUUUCUCAUUACAACCAUGACAGUUCACUUACAACAGCACCCAAGAGCCAAGGGUCAUGUUCACAGUCGCCGGUCGAGCAGUCGUUCCUGCAUUCAACUGAGAGACAAAUGGAGGGAUGCAACAAUUUCACUGUUUGCUCACCAUGACGGAGCCGCUCUGUGCUGAAUCCUUUUGUGUCACGCAGCCAAGCUUCUGUCCUCGCCUCACGCCUGUGGGUUAACUGCCAGAGGAAGGCUGGAAGAGCCCCCUCCUCUUCCACACCGCCAAUCUGCAAUUUUUACUCAAUCUGCCUCUCUUGUCUCGGUUUACCUCAGUGUGCGAAUAUCUCCACCCCUUUCUCUCACUCUCUCAUGCUUUCUCUCUCCCUCCCACAGCUUGCUAUCUCUCCUCCCCUCGUGCCUUCAAAGCCAGUCUGCUCGCCACUUUAGGGCUGCUUGCUAGAUGAUCUCUCGGAAAACAACAUCCGCUUCUGUCUCCGGCAGCUCCAUGUCGAGGCUUCUUUAGGAUUUUUUGUCCAAGGCAGCAGGAUGCUGAUGUGCCGGCACUGAUUCUUCUACUUACCUUCUAAUUUUCCCCUUUCCCCUUCCCUCUCCUAAUCUCCUGCCCUCUGACCUUCAUCACCACCUUUCACCUGUUCCCUUCCAUCCCUAUUCCCUCUCUUUCUUCGUCCCUCUUUCUUGACCAUGUUGCCAUGUGUCUGCCGGUUCCAGCCUGUCCUUGCUUUGCUAUCCUUAACUUUCUUUACUCAAGGGGAAAACUGUCCAGCGACCUGCCUGUGUCCAGACCCUCACACCGUAGACUGUAGCGGACGAGGACUUACCCGUCUACCGGAAGAGAUCCCGUUGGAUGUGAGAAGACUGCUGUUGGCCGACAACUGGAUCCCACGUAUUCCCUCGGACUUCCUAGUGCUCUUCAGUGACCUGGUCUAUCUUGACCUCCGCAACAACUCGCUGUCACGCAUUGAGCCGGGCACCCUUAGCACUUCCUCCAGGUUAGUUUUCCUGGACCUCGGCUGCAACAACCUGACUGAGAUCCCCAAAGGGACUUUUGGAGAGUCGAGGAGCUUAAUUAAGUUGCGCCUGGGCAAUAACCCCUACUUAAGCAUGGUCAACGAAGACGCCUUCACGGGUCUCACCUCCUUGCGUGAACUUGAACUAGAACGCAAUGCUUUAUCUGGGCUACAGGUGGGUGCCCUGAGCCAGCUGCCCUCGCUCCGGAUGGUAAGGUUAGAAGGCAACCCUUGGGUGUGUAACUGCAACUUUGCCAACCUGUUUACUUGGCUGGUGGAGAACAGUCGCAAGCUUCCUCAUGGUAUAGAGAGUAUGGAGUGCUCUUUGCCCACCGAUGGUCGCCGUGUGCCUCUCAGCCAGCUUUCCCAGGACAGUUUUCGGGAAUGUCAGAUGACCCUGACCCUCACAGAUUUCCUCAUCAUCAUCUUCUCGGGCAUCUCCGUCUCUGUGGCCGCCAUCAUGGCCAGCUUCUUCCUGGCGUCAACCGUACACUGUUUCCAGCGCUGGAGCAAAGGAACCAAAGGAGAUGAAGAAGAGAGUGAAGAAUGAGAAGGAUGAGAUGAUUACCUUCAAUCUGAUUCCGAGCCAAGACUUGGAGUAGCGGAGAGAUAAACAUUAAGACUCUACAGACACCUGCUCUGUGGUCACCGGCUUCUCAGUUGGACAAAUGUAUCUGGUGACAGUGCUACUAAAAUGACUAGUAUGCAUUACUGGACUUCUGGUAUGCGGGACAACAGCGUGAAGUGAAUUGGAAGUAAAACGUGACCUAGAAACUCCUGAGAGAACAACAGCAAGGAAUGCUGGGUAAAAGAAACUGACACCUCUGGAGAGAUCUGUAUGCAGAGGCUCACUGGUCCUCCCCUAAACUUCAAGUAAAGACAGCUGCUCAGGUUACUGUACUAUAUCCUGUGGGGUCAGGACUUGCACGCUCUUUUUUUAUUUACAGUACAGAGUGGUUGGAAAUUGCUGCGGUUUUACAGGUCAUUCAAAAAUGGAUGGAUCUAUUUAGUAUUUUUUAUAAUUUAAAAUAAUACAAAAUUUUAAUAAUUUAAUAUAGUUAAACUGGAAAGCAGCUCAAAUCAAUUUGAAAAUUCCUUGGGUCAGCGUAUAAAGAUUUUUAUUCUCAGAACUAAGGAACCAAGUUUAGGGACGAUGCAUCUAGGUGUCACAAUCAUCCUAAAAAUUGCUGGCUUAUUUUCAACCCAGCAUUGGGUCAAAAAGGAACAAACCCAACUGCUGGGCUAAAUUAAAUCAUAAUUUUUUUAUAUUUGACCCAACUAUGAGUUAAAAAACAGCAUUUUGGGUUGAAACUACUUAGCAUAGAUUAGCUACAUUACAGCCAUUAAUUACAUUACAGGGUUCAUCCCUUUUUGACCCAACACUGGGCAUCUUGUUAUUACUUUGGUACAAAAAUCAAAUAGCUAAACAGCAUAUAAAAAGCAUGUUAUAAAACGGCUCAUUCUGGUUCUUCAUUCUGGUUCUAAGCCAUGAUAAAAUACCCCGGUAACCCCACGGUUCAGACUGCAUUGCAUAAGUAUCACUGCGCCACUGUUGCUGCGUACUGAUUUAUGAAAAUAAACACCACAGUCUUUAAUCAUAUUUUUAAUUAGUCUACAAUUGCACAAUUAAUGACGAAAUCCAGAUAAAUGGCAAUAAAUAUUGUUGAGUCAUCUCGUCAAUAAAGAGAAAACGUUCCCUGAGGAGUUUCUACCUCAAAUCCAUAUAUCCGCUUUUAUCCACUAGGUGGCAAUCUUACCCAACUUAAACAGUGACGCAUUCACUCAACACUAAAAACACCGUGUAAGUUUUGAUCAUGACUCUGAAUCUGAUCUCUUACAAAAGUUCUUCACAAAAAUUUAAUUAUCUCAGCUUUUAGCUGUAAAUUUGAGAGGUGAUAAGAGAACAAAUGAAGCUAAGAUGAAACUUUUUUUUAAAGCGAACCGUCUGUUCUUUCGUUUGAUAUAUUUUAUGUUUAUUUAAAGAACAUUUUUCUGGAAGGCAUUAAACUAAAACUGGGUGGCAAUAUUUAAAAAAAACGCUGACGGGGAAAGAGUAAAGCAUGCCUCAAGCAUAUUUGAUCAUCACUUCAACAGUUGCAUGAUAUAAAUGUGAAUGUAUAAAUUAGAUGAAUGUUGAUUUAUAAAAAUAAACACUAGUCUUUAAUUA